Non-coding RNA from Malus domestica (apple), 333 nucleotides. NCBI's taxonomy places the organism in Eukaryota, Viridiplantae, Streptophyta, Magnoliopsida, Rosales, Rosaceae. The record is from RefSeq and is a predicted model, not a curated record.
GAGAGUUGCCAGUCUGUAUUUUCUGUUGGCAGCUGUUUUGUUUGUCACUUCAUUGGCUUCUUGUACUCUAAUAGUUUGAUUUCUUCUUUGGUCUUUGUAGUGGGGGCAAGCAUGACUAAGGAGGCAAUGGAGGAUUAGCAUAGAUAUUUGCAGAAGAAAAUUAGUUUUGUUCAAAAUUGACUCCUCAGUUUAGAAUUUCGUCUUCCGUCUUUGAAAUUCCGUAUGAUUGUAAACCCCUUUCACUUUCCUGUUCUUUCUUUAUAUUCAUUGCAUAAAGUUUAUAUGUAUGAAACCCGAUAAUUUCUUGUACGUUAAUCCGAUGAUUGCUUCAUA